ACAGAAUUAGUUUAAUUGAAAAUUUUAACUUGUCGAGUUAAGGAUAAUCGGAGAUUAUUUUGUA
This 64-nucleotide transfer RNA is filed under the name Neomazocraes dorosomatis. Its description in RNAcentral is "tRNA-Asp". Lineage: Eukaryota; Metazoa; Platyhelminthes; Monogenea; Mazocraeidea; Mazocraeidae. The record is from RNAcentral.